UUCCUGUGGUUGUUGGUGCGACUCUGGCUGCCCUGGUGGUUCUGAUCUCAGCAGCUCUGCUGGUUUCCUGCAGGAGAAGAUCUCUGAGAGAGAGCAGAGGAAGUUCAUCUGGAUCAAACUCUGCGCGAACCACCAAUGAUGCAUCCACUCUGAAAGGUUUCUACCAGAACCUGAGCCCGGCCACCAGGGACCAGAACCAGACCUACUGCACUCUGGAGAACUCAAAUAAGAUCCUGGAUUCUGUUUCUGAGCCUCAGGAGUCCAAAGAUUUUCACCUGAGAUCUGAAGAAAAUUGAA
Molecule: long non-coding RNA, 297 nt
Organism: Poeciliopsis prolifica (blackstripe livebearer)
Lineage: Eukaryota; Metazoa; Chordata; Actinopteri; Cyprinodontiformes; Poeciliidae
Exons: 3
Source: RefSeq, a predicted model, not a curated record